RNAcentral lists this ribosomal RNA (322 nucleotides) under uncultured eukaryote. Its description in RNAcentral is "partial 18S ribosomal RNA". It matches the Rfam family "Eukaryotic small subunit ribosomal RNA", at positions 1470 to 1796 of the family's 1831-position model. The record is from RNAcentral.
CCCUUAGAUGUUCUGGGCCGCACGCGUGCUACACUGAACGGUUCAAUGGGUGAGGUAGUGCGAAAGCAUGACCCAAUCUCAAAAUCCGUUCGUGCUGGGGAUAGAAGCUUGCAAUUCUCCUUCUUGAACGAGGAAUACCUUGUAAGCGCGAGUCAUCAUCUCGCGCUGAAUACGUCCCUGCCCUUUGUACACACCGCCCGUCGCUCCUACCGAUUGAGUGGUCCGGUGAGACUUCGGGAGAGCUAAAUGGAUUGUGUUUCACAAACUAUUUGGCUUGAACUUAGUCAAACCUUACUACUUAGAGGAAGGAGAAGUCGUAACA